CAGUCGCCGCGGUAAUACAGAGGGUGCAAGCGUUAAUCGGAUUUACUGGGCGUAAAGGGCGCGUAGGUGGUUAUUUAAGUGAGAUGUGAAAGCCCCGGGCUUAACCUGGGAACUGCAUCUUAUACUGGGUAACUGGAGUACAGUAGAGGGUAGUGGAAUUUCCGGUGUAGCGGUGAAAUGCGUAGAUAUCGGAAGGAACACCAGUGGCGAGGGCGGCUACCUGGACUGAGACUGACACUGAGGCGCGAGAGCGUGGGGAGCAAACAGGAUUAGAUACCCCAGUAGUCCCUGUCUCUUAUAC
Molecule: ribosomal RNA, 301 nt
Filed under: uncultured bacterium
Lineage: Bacteria
Description: partial 16S ribosomal RNA
Rfam family: Bacterial small subunit ribosomal RNA
Source: RNAcentral